RNAcentral lists this ribosomal RNA (496 nucleotides) under uncultured bacterium. RNAcentral's name for it is "partial 16S ribosomal RNA". It matches the Rfam family "Bacterial small subunit ribosomal RNA", at positions 29 to 507 of the family's 1533-position model. The record is from RNAcentral.
AUGAACGCUGGCGGCGUGCCUAAUACAUGCAAGUCGAGCGAACAGAUGAGGAGCUUGCUCCUCUGACGUUAGCGGCGGACGGGUGAGUAACACGUGGAUAACCUACCUAUAAGACUGGGAUAACUUCGGGAAACCGGAGCUAAUACCGGAUAAUAUAUUGAACCGCAUGGUUCAAUAGUGAAAGACGGUUUUGCUGUCACUUAUAGAUGGAUCCGCGCCGCAUUAGCUAGUUGGUAAGGUAACGGCUUACCAAGGCAACGAUGCGUAGCCGACCUGAGAGGGUGAUCGGCCACACUGGAACUGAGACACGGUCCAGACUCCUACGGGAGGCAGCAGUAGGGAAUCUUCCGCAAUGGGCGAAAGCCUGACGGAGCAACGCCGCGUGAGUGAUGAAGGUCUUCGGAUCGUAAAACUCUGUUAUUAGGGAAGAACAAAUGUGUAAGUAACUAUGCACGUCUUGACGGUACCUAAACAGAAAGCCACGGCUAACUACGUG